Long non-coding RNA from Peromyscus leucopus (white-footed mouse), 807 nucleotides. RefSeq lists it as uncharacterized. The record is from RefSeq and is a predicted model, not a curated record. The transcript is spliced from 2 exons. Lineage: Eukaryota; Metazoa; Chordata; Mammalia; Rodentia; Cricetidae.
UCUCUCUGCCCUCUACAUCCCAUUCUCAUCCCCACUGGUUAGCUGCUACCCACAGCACCUCCCGCUCGGAAACAGGGACGAGGAGGGGUCAGUAAAAGAGCAAAGGUCUGGUGGCACAGACCUGACCCCGUAGUCCCAGCGAGCGAGAGGCAGAGGCGGGAGCAUUUCAAGUCCUGAGCCAGGCCAGCCUCUCCCAAAACCCAAACAACACACUAACAACAACAACAACAACAAAAAGGUACAUUCUUACUCCGCUCCUGGCACUCACACCCACCGUUGUCACUGCCCUCUCCCUCGGUACUCACUGAAGCUAGGAUGAAGGCUAAGGGCCCAGCCGCCCCUCCCAAGCUAACUUCUGACAUCACACAGGCCCUGAUGCAGGUGAGUCACUGUCAGGCUGACCUCACCUAGUACCUCCAGCUCCCGGUUACCAGCAUACUCCUCCAGGGAUGGCAUCCAGCACACUCUGGCUUACCUCAGAGCUUCCCCAAGUUCGUCAGCAGUGGCUCCGUUGGGGAGCUCUUCAGACCAACUGGAGGAUGGGCUGCCGGCCUCCCCACUGGCAAUGCUGCCCCCCGCAGCUCGGGGGUGGAAGAGGUGCUCACAGAAGCAAGAGGAGGGCCGUCAGAUCUUCUGGAACUGGAACUAUAGACAGCUGUGAACCUCAAAUGUGAGUGCUUGGAAACCUAACUCAGAUUCUCUGUGAAAACAGCUCUGAGCCAUCUCACCAGCCCCCAGAGAAGAAAACUUACAUUACUACUUUGCAGAUGAAAUAAGACUCUUAAAAGAAAAUUCCUCUAAAAUGAA